RNAcentral lists this long non-coding RNA (1106 nucleotides) under Heterocephalus glaber (naked mole-rat). RNAcentral describes it as "lncRNA (ENSHGLG00100037427.1)". The record is from RNAcentral. Lineage: Eukaryota; Metazoa; Chordata; Mammalia; Rodentia; Bathyergidae.
UUCAUUUGUAUAUUUGCUUCCUCAUUUUUUCUGAGAGUGUUAAGUAGAAUUUGCCUAUUUAUUUUUUCUGUACUGGGGAUUGAACUCAGGGCCUUCUCACUGAGCUACAUACAGCUUUAUAUUUAUUCAAUGAAUAAAUCAAUGAUUAAAUAAGUGAAAUGACCCAAGUAUGAAUGGUUAUGGUAGAAAUAACACAAAUAUUAUGUCAGCAAUAUUUUAUUUCCUCCCAAAUUUAAUCUUUACUUGAAAUUGAUAAUUAGGAGAGCAUAAGAUCUGAGUCAUGUAGUUCUUAUAUAUUUUAUUAUAAGACGGUUGUAGCUUUUCAGAUAUGGGGGCAGUAGAUUAUAGUUCAAACAGGACAUUGCUUCUACUAACUUGAGGCAAUCUGAGUACUGAGUGAACUUUCAACUAUUAGGUAGCACAUACCCCCCACACUCUUCCUUCUCUUUGUUCACAGAUGGUCAACAGAGCUAAAGUAAAAGGUGGUUAUAAAGUAGACAGUGGUUGCAGUGGAUUCUGCUCUUCAGUGGUGGUUUCCUGUGAGGACUUUCCUCUUUUUCCUGUUCUCUCUCCCUAUUCAGUGAGGAGGAUGUUGCCUGGCAUUGAAAUACAGGAACAAUGGGGCAGGCAACAUAAGGAACAAAGAAGGGAAGGAGGUUGUAGAUUCCACUGGAAACUGGGCUUAGCUUUGGAGUUUAACCAGCAAUGUUUUGGUGUUAGCUGAGUCUCUUCCUGAAGGUCUGUGUUCUAUCAUGCUUCCUGUGAACAUCUGACUCCACCCAGCCACAUUCUGCAGGAGGAAACUGGAUGAACAAAGAGCAGUUUGCAUAAGACUAUUCUGGCCAACUGUGGACUGAGACAUCUGAAACUGUAAACCCAAGAAAGCAGCUGUUGCAGGGAGAAAUGCCUUACUGGAAGAGCAUGGACCAGCACCUUGACCUAUGGAGACCUGACUCAGUGGCCCUAUCCCACCUGACAUAAGGCAGUGUCCCUGAAGGUGCCUAGUGUUUCCAGGGUCUCACUAUAUAGCCCAGAAUGGCUUGAACUUCAGAUCUUUCAGCCUCAGCUUCUUGAAAAGCUGGGAUUACAGGUGUGCAAUACUGGAC